This 251-nucleotide ribosomal RNA is filed under the name uncultured bacterium. RNAcentral's name for it is "partial 16S ribosomal RNA". It matches the Rfam family "Bacterial small subunit ribosomal RNA", at positions 524 to 774 of the family's 1533-position model. The record is from RNAcentral.
UACGUAGGGGGCAAGCGUUAUCCGGAAUUACUGGGUGUAAAGGGUGCGUAGGCGGCACGCCAAGUCAGUUGUGAAACCCGUAGGCUCAACCUACGGCUUGCAAUUGAAACUGGCGAGCUAGAGUACAGGAGAGGAAAGCGGAAUUCCUAGUGUAGCGGUGAAAUGCGUAGAUAUUAGGAAGAACACCGGUGGCGAAGGCGGCUUUCUGGACUGAAACUGACGCUGAGGCACGAAAGCGUGGGGAGCAAACA